RNAcentral lists this ribosomal RNA (1201 nucleotides) under Brevibacterium aureum. RNAcentral's name for it is "bacterial SSU rRNA". It matches the Rfam family "Bacterial small subunit ribosomal RNA", at positions 138 to 1354 of the family's 1533-position model. Lineage: Bacteria; Bacillati; Actinomycetota; Actinomycetes; Micrococcales; Brevibacteriaceae. The record is from RNAcentral.
UCGGGAUAAGCCUGGGAACUGGGUCUAAUACCGGAUACGACCUCCUGACGCAUGUUGGGUGGUGGAAAGUUUUUCGAUCGGGGAUGGGCUCGCGGCCUAUCAGCUUGUUGGUGGGGUAAUGGCCUACCAAGGCGACGACGGGUAGCCGGCCUGAGAGGGCGACCGGCCACACUGGGACUGAGACACGGCCCAGACUCCUACGGGAGGCAGCAGUGGGGAAUAUUGCACAAUGGGGGAAACCCUGAUGCAGCGACGCAGCGUGCGGGAUGACGGCCUUCGGGUUGUAAACCGCUUUCAGCAGGGAAGAAGCGAAAGUGACGGUACCUGCAGAAGAAGUACCGGCUAACUACGUGCCAGCAGCCGCGGUAAUACGUAGGGUACGAGCGUUGUCCGGAAUUAUUGGGCGUAAAGAGCUCGUAGGUGGUUGGUCACGUCUGCUGUGGAAACGCAACGCUUAACGUUGCGCGUGCAGUGGGUACGGGCUGACUAGAGUGCAGUAGGGGAGUCUGGAAUUCCUGGUGUAGCGGUGAAAUGCGCAGAUAUCAGGAGGAACACCGGUGGCGAAGGCGGGACUCUGGGCUGUAACUGACACUGAGGAGCGAAAGCAUGGGGAGCGAACAGGAUUAGAUACCCUGGUAGUCCAUGCCGUAAACGUUGGGCACUAGGUGUGGGGGACAUUCCACGUUCUCCGCGCCGUAGCUAACGCAUUAAGUGCCCCGCCUGGGGAGUACGGUCGCAAGGCUAAAACUCAAAGGAAUUGACGGGGGCCCGCACAAGCGGCGGAGCAUGCGGAUUAAUUCGAUGCAACGCGAAGAACCUUACCAAGGCUUGACAUACACUGGACCGUUCUGGAAACAGUUCUUCUCUUUGGAGCUGGUGUACAGGUGGUGCAUGGUUGUCGUCAGCUCGUGUCGUGAGAUGUUGGGUUAAGUCCCGCAACGAGCGCAACCCUCGUUCUAUGUUGCCAGCACGUGAUGGUGGGAACUCAUAGGAGACUGCCGGGGUCAACUCGGAGGAAGGUGGGGAUGACGUCAAAUCAUCAUGCCCUUUAUGUCUUGGGCUUCACGCAUGCUACAAUGGCUGGUACAGAGAGAGGCGAACCCGUGAGGGUAAGCGAAUCCCUUAAAGCCAGUCUCAGUUCGGAUCGUAGUCUGCAAUUCGACUACGUGAAGUCGGAGUCGCUAGUAAUCGCAGAUCAGCA